This 44-nucleotide transfer RNA is filed under the name Helianthus annuus (common sunflower). RNAcentral's name for it is "partial tRNA-Leu". Lineage: Eukaryota; Viridiplantae; Streptophyta; Magnoliopsida; Asterales; Asteraceae. The record is from RNAcentral.
UACGGACUUAAAAAAUCCGUCGAUUUCAAAAAUCAUGAGGGUUC